ACCAGACUCCUACGGGAGGCAGCAGUGGGGGAUAUUGCACAAUGGGGGGAACCCUGAUGCAGCGACGCCGCGUGGGUGAAGAAGUAUUUCGGUAUGUAAAGCCCUCUCGGCAGGGAAGAAAUUGGACGGUACCUGACUAAGAAGCCCCGGCUAACUACGUGCCAGCAGCCGCGGUAAUACGUAGGUGGCAAGCGUUGUCCGGAUUUACUGGGUGUAAAGGGCGUGUAGCCGGGAAGGCAAGUCAGAUGUGAAAUCCGGAGGCUCAACCUCCGAAUUGCAUUUGAAACUGUUUUUCUUGAGUACUGGAGAGGCAGACGGAAUUCCUUGUGUAGCGGUGAAAUGCGUAGAUAUAAGGAGGAACACCAUUGGCGAAGGCGGUCUGCUGGACAGCAACUGACGGUGAGGCGCGAAAGCGUGGGGAGCAAACAGGAUUAGAUACCCGAGUAUU
RNAcentral lists this ribosomal RNA (448 nucleotides) under uncultured bacterium. Its description in RNAcentral is "bacterial SSU rRNA". It matches the Rfam family "Bacterial small subunit ribosomal RNA", at positions 330 to 794 of the family's 1533-position model. The record is from RNAcentral.